GGCAGAGGGAGCCCGACCCCCGUGAGCAGGGGAGGCCGAACUCCGGUCUCGCGGCUCAUGAGGAAAGUCCCCCCACCGGCCGAACAGGUGACCGGGUGUAAGCCCGGAGUCGGAGACGGCUGGCUCUGGAACAGAAACGAGACCCCCCAUCCCGACCAAUGAGGUGUGUGACCCGCCCCGCGAGGGAAGGUAGUUAACCCGCCGAUGGGACGCGGUGACCCCGCGAAACGGGUGGGAAUGGCUGGAACGGCGAAUCCUCACCGGUGCAAGUCCGCGCGACAGGUAGUUCGGCCAUGGCGCGGACGCUUAGCCGAAUGUCGGGCCGAACAGAAGGGGGCUUACUCCCCUCAGCC
RNAcentral lists this RNase P RNA (353 nucleotides) under uncultured archaeon A07HR60. It matches the Rfam family "Archaeal RNase P". From Rfam's summary of the family: Ribonuclease P (RNase P) is a ubiquitous endoribonuclease, found in archaea, bacteria and eukarya as well as chloroplasts and mitochondria. The record is from RNAcentral.